GAGCUGUAUUUGUUUGAGGUAUCUGCAUGGUGAGCAGAUGCCAGCUCUGACUUAUUAUGAUGAACAGCGCAGUGAGGCUGUAGUGGACAGAAAUCAUGGUAAUGUAUGUCAGGUGUGCUUGUUUUGCUUAAAAUUUAUACUCUGGAUUUCACCGUGGCUGCAAGAUAUCUAAAAUUUAAUGUGUUGUCACCAUUAUUCAUCCUCCGACUAGCCAAUAAAUUAAGCAGGAAAAGCUCUUCCUGAGUUAUACAUGCAUGAAGUGCUUGUUAUACCCAGGAGACACAAAUCCCAGCAAACUCCAGACGCCACAACUUAUACAAGUUUCUGCUGGGUUUAAAUGAGGCAACGCCGCCUCUUGGAGCUCAUCCGUAAACCGUGAUUGCAGGUAUUUGAAGUUAACCGAGGAGUCGGCUUCAGUUAUCUGAGUUUAGAGCUGAACAGAGACAGUUCUUAGAGAUUACGCAAAUGGACGUCAAACCAAAGCGCCUGCACAUGCAUCCGCAGCAGAGAAGUGGAAGACCUGCAGGAAAGAAAUGUUGAUAGCUGCUUAAUCAAAGCAACACUGCUGCAGUGUGUUGGUGAAUUCAGACAGUUUUAGAGGAAGAUAGAGGCACGGAGGAUGCAGCGAUGACUCUGGAGAACCCAAACAGCCUGAACAACUGCAGCGCGCAGGUGUUUCUCCUCUUCCUGAGCAACCCUGAACUCUCCAAAGACACAUUAGCACAAUCCCUUUUUGGCUGUAUAACAGUAUGCUUACUCUAAGACACUGGGCGUUAAUAUUUUUAAUUAAAUUACUUGAUUUAUAAAGGAUUUGUUUUGGGGGUUUGGGUACUUUAGAUCAUGGAUAAAUCAUUUCUCAUAGAGAUCGAUGUGUAUGAGUCAUAGAAAUGCAGUUGUACAUUCCUUGUUCAUUCAUAAUUUAUGUUCAUUUUGCCUUCCACAUCCAUAAAUAUUUAAGUGCUUAAAACAUAAAUAAUCAUUAAUAAUUCAUUACAUUCAUAUGGCGGAUCACUGAAAAACGCUUGUGCACAC
This is a long non-coding RNA of Oreochromis niloticus (Nile tilapia), 1032 nucleotides long. RefSeq lists it as uncharacterized. Lineage: Eukaryota; Metazoa; Chordata; Actinopteri; Cichliformes; Cichlidae. The record is from RefSeq and is a predicted model, not a curated record. The transcript has 3 exons.